CUGAGAUCACGAUUUGCAAUCACAAGAUUUUGAUAUAUUAAUUGGUUUAUCAUUUCAGAGAUUAAUGGCUUAGACAUAAGACAUUAUUUUCUCUGCUUCCAGCAGAACUAAUGUAAUGCAUGCCUGUGUGUGAGCAGAAAGUCUGCUGUAUAUAUCCCUCUCCUGCACACAGACCUAAGCUGAUAGAACUUGCAUCCUGCUUGAGCUCUAAAACUCAAGCUCUGCUUGAUUGGUCAUAGGAUGGGUCCAGAAGUCAAUCUCAUACAUCCUCAGAUGAUGCUUAUAUCUUUGGAGCUGAUGACAUACAGGGACUAAGAGAAUAAGCAUUGUUAACACAGUGAAUGCAACAUGGCCUCAGUGAAACUGGAAUAAAGCAUCACGAAUGAGAACAUUCUAAAAGUGAACAACUAGAGGUGCAGCCACCAUAUCACAGGAUACAACAGGAAGUGGAUUGGCUGAGAAGAAAAGGGAACCAGGAGCAGUCAAAGGUGACAGUGAGAAAGUGCUUCUAAUGCAACAAACUCUCUCUUAGAGCUUGGCCUUUAAUCCCAGCAGAGAUAGGUGGAUCUUUGUGAUUCUGAGGUCAGCAAGUCUACAUAGAGAGUCCCAAGACAUCCAGGGCUACACAGAAAGACCUUCUCUCAAACAGAACACAGAACAAAACAGUAAACCCUAUUAGAUGCAGAAAUAGUAGAGUUCAAGCCAGUUAUGUAUAGGAAUUCUUUCAGAGCAGAAAAUAAGAGGGAGAAAACCAUUUUUAAGUGAGAGGGAAAAAUGGUGACUAAGAAGGCAUUACUCAGGGAACAGAGAGCACUAACCAUGAGCCACAGAUUUCCUGGAAAACAACCACAAACUUAGAAUACUUAGAGAAAGACUGGUACCCCACAGCCUGGAGAAUAAACUGUUUUUGAAAUCAGGAAAAAAAAGGAGAAGGAGGAGGAGGAAGAGGAGGGGGAGGAGGAGGAGGGGGAGGAGGAGGAGGGAGAGGAGGAGUAGAAGAAGAAGAAGGAGAAGAAGGAGAAGAAGAAGGAGGAGGAGGAGGAGGAAGAAGAAAGAAAGAAAGAAAGAAAGAAAGAAAGAAAGAAAGGAAGGAAGGAAGAAAGGAAGAAAGAAAGAAAAGAAAUUAAAUUUGCACAUAAAAAUCUUACCUUAGCCCAAGAAUUGCUCUUAAAAAAAAAAAAAAGAAAAAAAAAAAAAGCUAGGAAAACUUUGAAUUACAAGGAUCAGUGAAUCCAUUGGCGUGAAUCUAGCCAGAAAAAUAGACCCACAAAUGAGCAAAAUCAGACCAGAGUUCAACUUUCUUCCAACGUUAUAAAUGCCAGAAAAAUAACAGUGCUGUGCUCACAAAAGUUUGGAAGGAAAUCUCUAUAAAGCAGGAAUACUGCACUCACCGCUUUUAAUCUGUGAAGGCAGCAGGGGUGCAGUUCUGCCUGGAUACCUGAGUUGUUCUGUGUGCAGUCACUCCCUCUACCUGGAGUCACUUUGCAUGGUUUUAGUGGCCCAUAGUCAACCAUGGUUUGAAGAUAUUCCGUGGAAAACUUCAGAACUAAGUCAUUCAGGAGAUACUCCAGGAGAACAAGGACGCUGUCUCGUGUCUGUCCCACCAUUCACUGUGUCAUUAGCUCUGUGGCACAUGGCUGACACCCAAUAGCUAUACACUCGAUUGUCUUCAGUUAAAGAGAGCCCAGUGUACUUUGCUUUAGUUUGAAUUUAAGAAUAACCAGAUUUUUCUUUUUUCUCCUUUAAUUCUCAUUUGUCCUAGGUCUUUGCCUCUGAUGAUAAGCACUGGCUCCCUUAAAUGAAAAAGUUAUUUGGGAGCUAAUCACAUCUUUUGUUACUUUUUGAGUAAAAUGCCUCCCUCCCCUGAAACCUCUUGAGACGCAGGUGCCAGGUUGGAACUUGACAUAUAAGAGAUGAACUGAGGAAGUGUCUGUGAAGGGAAAGAGGAAAGAACAACAGAAGCCAGGGCCUUCAGACAGAGGGCAACAGGAUGAAGCAAGGUUCGGGAGGACAGACUCCUGCCUAUAGUGCCAUUCUGAGAAGAUCUUCACUGGAUGGAUAGGGCUUCAUCCAGCAAGGAUGCCUGUUACAGAAGUCCUACAGUUGCAGGGCCAGGCUAGGCAGUUGCAGAACCUCUCUAUACAUGUAGCACUGGCUGGCCACAGCCCAAGAGGCACAUAGUCUCAGCAGAGUGGAGGACAUCCCAAGCAGUAGCAGCGAGUGCUGUCAAUCAGCUGUACCUCUCUGGGAGGGAGUUCUGAAUGGCACAUCUCCAUAGCUGACGUGGUGAUUCAAUACAAUAGGGUACAGAGAAACUAUCAAGUGGAAAAUUCUGGAAACAAACAAAAAAGGUAGGUGCUAUGUACUGGUCUGCAAAGCAGGGUAAAAUCUGGGGUCACCCUGUUCCCUCCUGAAGAGUGUGACUUAUCAGUCAAGCCUAUGGAUGUGGACUGCACCUAUCCCUUCGUAGCCAUAUUGGUUAUCAGAUUAACUCUCAUUGUAUCAUAGUGUUUCCAUGUAAGUAAUUCAGUGGGGGGGGGGGGCAUAGCUUUUAUUAUUACAGUGUAUUUGUUAAAGGUUUUCUACUUUGUUGCUACUCAUUUCUUGGUAUUUGUAAGUUAAAAUGGAUCAUAUGUGGAGUGUAUAGGGAGAAGAUAGUACAUAUAGAGUUAAGGAAUCAGGCAUCCACUGAGUGUCACAGACCGAGUUCCGUGUGGCUAGGGGAAUGAGUUUGUUAUAUCCUGAAGGCAUCAUCUGAGGGUGUGCUCCAGAUGCAGUUGAGCUCCUAAAAACAAAGAAGUUAACCCUACCAGAAAAGACUGGCCUUGGGAGGAAGAGCUGAAAGCCAUAAAUGAAGGAGUUCUAUCUAAGUAAGUGUUAAAAUGUAUAAGAGAAUCCGUAACUGUUUUUUUUUUUUUUUUUUUUUUUUUUUACUUCUGUCUCUAUGAGCUUACAAUGUAACAGAUUUCCUUUUGACAUUCUCACACAUGCUAAGCUUUGAUCUACAGUCCUGGCCCUUCUCUUCUGGUCUCCAUGUUCUGUCAAGUUUAUCCCUUCCACUCUCAGAGUUUACCUCACUUUCCACUUUCAUACCACAUGGGAUCUUCUACCCAUCUGUCCAUUCUCUCUCCCAUGGUCCCUUUCUAGAUCUUUGACUUUACCCCCCACUCUCCUACAUAAAUAGACACAUAUACAAAAUAGAAGGUAGGACUUAGGUAUGAGAGAAAAUUUGUAGUAUUUGUCUUUCCGAGCCGGAGUCACCUUAAUACAUUUCCAGUUCCAUCUAUUUUCCCAAAUAUUUCAUAAUUUCAUUUUUCUUUCCAGGUGAAUGAGAUUCCAUUGUAUAUAUGUAUACAUUUUCUUUAUCCAUUCAUCAAUUCUUAGAAAUCUAGUCUGACUCUGUUUCCUUCCCAUUGUGAACAGAGUAGUAAUGAACAUGUAUGUACAAGUGUGUCUUUCAUAGAAUAUAGAGGCUUUGGGUAUAUAUAUAUGCCCAGGAGUGGUGGAGCUGGGUUACAUGGCAGUUCUAUUUUGAGGUUUUGGGGGCCCUCCAGGUUGAUCUCUAUAGUGAUCGCCCCAGUUUGCAGUCCCAUCAAGGAGAAUAAGGUUCCUCUUUCCCCACAUCCUCACCAACAUUUGUUGUCAUUGUUUCUUGAUGAUACCCAUUCUGUCUGGGGUGGGAUGGAGUCUUGAAGUAGUUUUAAUUUGCAUUCCCCUGAUAUCUAAGAAUGGUGAACAUUUUUUUAAAAAUGUUUCAUAGACAUUUGAGAACUGUUUGGUAAGUUCGGUAUCCCAGUUAUGAAUCAAGUUGUUUUCUUGUGUAGUUGUUUUUGUUCUUUCUGUAGUAGAGAUAUCUAUCCUCUGUUAGGAGUGUAGCUAGCAAAGAUCUUCUCCCGUUCUGCAGUCUGUCUCUCCUUUCCUUUGUUGUAAAGAAGCUUUUUCAUUUUAUGAGAUCCCAUUGGUCAGUGGUUGCCCUCAUUCCCUGAGCGACUGGAGUCCCGUUCAGAAAUUUAUCCAUACCAAUACCUUAAAGUGAUAUCUUUAUUUUUCAGUGGCUUUAGAGUUUGGGGUCCAUGGUAAAGACUAAUUUAUCUGGAGUUGAUCUUUGUGCAGGAUGACCGAUAUGGAUCUAGUAUUAUCCUUCAACAUGUGAGUAUUCAGUUUCCCCAGCACCGUUAGAAUUAAUGUUUUUCUUUCAAGUGUUCUUGUUUUACCUUCAUGUUAGGUAUUUAGUGUGUACCCACAUGCCAUGAUUCAUGUGUGCAGAUCAGAGGACAACUUAUGCGAGAUGGUUCUCCCCUUCUUCCACAUGGGUCCUGGGGAUUGAACUCAAGUCACCAGGCUUGGUGGCAAGACUCUCUAUCAACUGAGCCAUCUCACUGGCCCACACAACUUUAACACUCUUUAAACCUUCAACGUGAAGACCAUAGUAAGAAUCGAUAGAAAAUGGUAACAGUGAAACAGAGGAAACAAAAACACCAGGAAACAGAAGCCAAGUCAAACGUCAGCUUUAAAGUGCUUCCAUUACUUUCCACAGAGAAUUGAGGGGGGAAAAUUAUUGUGUCUAUAAUAGGAUGUAGAUUUACAAAUUAGGGAAAGCCCCUGGGAAUUAAAAAGAAAGAGCUGAAAUUAAACAUUCAAUAAUAAGGUUCUACUUUGCCCCCUAAUUGCCCCCCCAUCCCAGCUGUCUCUCUCAGUCCUCUCUCCCUCCAUCCUCCCCACAACCUGGUCCCUCCUGUUCCCUUCCCCAGUCCACCCAUGCUAUAGGAGACAUUCCCCUUCCCACAGAGACCCAUGAGUCCCCCUAAGCCCUCCUUGUUACGUAGCCUCUGUGGGUCUGUGGAUUGCGACUUAUCCUUUGCACUGAUAUCCACUCAUGAGUGAGUACAAACCCUGUUUGUCUUUCUGGGUCUGGGUUACCUCACUCAAGAUCAUUUUUUUCUAGUUUCACCCUCUUGCCUGAAAUUUUCAUGUUUUUUUUCUUUUUUAAACAGCUGAGUAAUUAAUGCUCUGUUGUAUAAAUGUGCCACGUUUUCUUCCUCCAUUCUUUGGUUGAGGGUGGAAACUCCCAGGUAUCUAUUAGGGUGACCCUAGCUCAGACUCCUAGUAAUGGGGGCUAGGAUACAGCCAUCUCCUCUAGCCAAGACAUACUUCUAGUGGAGAGAUGGGAUAACAACCCAGUCACAAAACCUUCUACCUACAAUUUGUUUUGCCAGAAAAAUGUGUUGAGGUAAAGGUGACACAGAAAUUGUGGGAGUGGCCAGCCAGUGAUUGGUCCAGCUUGAGAUCCACAUAACAAGAGGGAAGCUGACACUGCCUGGAGGACCAGAAACCAGAGGCCAGGUGACCCAAAGACCUAGGAUAGAACCAAGCAUGCCUGGCUAGAUGUAGAUGUAUAAGUACACAUGUAUGUAUAAAUAAAUGAAAUGAUUCCUAAAGAUAUUCUGCUGUUCUUAUAGAUAAGAGCCUGGCAAAAUUACCAUCAGAGAGGCUCCAUCCAGCAACUGAUGGAAACAGAUGCAGAGACCAACAGCCAAAAUUAGGCAGAACUCAAUGAAUCCUGAAGAAUGGAAGGAAGGAUUGUAGGAGCCAGAAGGGUCAAGGACACAAGAAAACCCACAGAAUCACCAAACCUGAACCCACAGAGGCUCACUAAACUGGACUGACAAUCGGGGUGCCUACAUGGACUGACCUAGGCUCUCUGCAUCUCUGUAGUUCGUCUCAUUGUAGGACUCCUAACUGAAGGACAAUGAGUUAUUUCUGGGAAGUUUGCCUGCUUUUGGUACUUUUUCCCCUCCUAAUGGGUUGCCUCAUCCAGCUUGAUAUGAGGGGGGUACCUAGUCUUAUUGCAACUUGAAAUGCUGUGUGUGGUUGAUAUCCCUGGGAAGCCUGCGCUUGGAGGAGUGGAUCAAGGUGGGCACUGGAGGGAGAGGAGAGAGGGGACACUGUGAUCCACAUGCAAUAUAGGAGAGAAUAAAUUGAUUUUUCUAAAAAAGACAAUAAUAGGAUAGAAGGAAGCUUCUAGGAAAUAGAAUCCUAAGAUAAGGUGGAAAUGCCCCUCCCCCCAAAUACAAAUACAAUUAAUUAACUGAAGAAAUUCAGUGUAUAACUAGAGUUCCAAAAAUGCUAGAGGUGGGCAAUACAGGGAUACAGUAUCCAAAAAACUGAGGGAAAAAAAAGUUUUAUAGAACUGAUAGAUUGGUGGCUGUCUCUGGAUCAAAUGGCGCAUAUAGUAAAAGAAGAAAGAUGAACAGUGAGUUUUCUGAACAGCAGAGAUGGAAGACAACAUGAAACCUGCCCUCAAGAAAAAGCAGUCUAUAUACAAUAGAAAAGGUGACGUAUCCAAGGCAUUAGAAGGUGCUAGAAACUACACAUCGGCUACAGGGCAAAGAAAAUGAAACAGUCCCCAACUACGUGGAGGCAGGACAUCUUCGUCCUAUAAUUCUCUGCCUGGUUUUUGCUUCCUCUGGUUUCCUUUCUGUCCUCUGGUAGCAUAUCCGAAUUUUCUUUUCAGGAGUGGAGAACUGUUAAGGAUUACUGCUGACAUUUCUAUGUCGUAAUAAAUUUAUAGCAAUUAUGUUACUCUUUGUUUCACCAUUUUCAAUUCCGCCUGCCAUUCUCUAAGCUAUGAUUUACUUCUCUGUGGGUGGGAUGUAGACAGACUAAUGAUGCUUUCAAAGACUUCAAUACCGAAAACCAUUUAGCUCUUAGGACUUUUUUUUUUUUUCCUCAGGGAGCCUCUAGAAGAGGGUUGCUCUGCUAAAACAAGGAGGCAAAUCUGUCCUGGUGCUCCCCGGGAACUGAUCACGUCAAGGACAAGCGUCAAGAAUGAGUGAAGCCAAACUUGGAUGCAUCUUACAAUUUGGGGUCAAGUGCUCCUUCUGGUGUAUUGCAAUAACAGAAACUGGUACCGGGGUCAUCCUCUGCCUCUCCAUCUGUCCACAUGGGCUUCACUCCAGAUUACAGAUCCAGAGGAUCCAGGCAGAGCAGUGAACACCAGGCACAACCAUAUGCCAGUUCAACAGAUGACAAGGACCUGAUAAUGGAGAUAUCGGGGAUAAAUGGAGAAUGGCUGGCGCUCAGCUGCACCAGAGAAGAAAUCUAACAAUCUAAGUCAGCUGCGAUUCUGCCCUAGCUACAACCUUUUCCCAGCUGCUGUCACUCUGGAAUUUUUUUUCUUCUACGUAAGUCCCGGCAAGUACUCCACCUGCACCCUCCGUGCUGGUGAAGUGGUUGGCACUUACCUUGACUGGCUCGAGGAAAACCCAGAGACUUGAUACAGCACUGAGUCUAAAUAUGUCUGAGAGCAUGAUUCUAGAAGAGAUUGACAUUUGAAUGACAUGGGAAAGACUUUUCCUUUCCCCCCCAGAAGUGGGCAAUGGCUAGUCUGCUGAGAACCUGGAUAGAGAUAGAAGGUGUCAGACAAGUUGUAUCUCCUGGAGCCAGGAUUUCGGUUUCACCUUUUCAGACACCAUAUUUUUGCUCCUUUCAAACUCUGGAACUUACAUCAACGCCCUGAAAUGUCUCAAACCUUCUGCCAUGCUUCCCUGGUUCUCAGGUCUUUGGACAAGCCUGAAUUAUACCAUCAGCUUCCCUGAUCUUCCAUCUUGCAGACGACUACCACAUGGCCCUUGUCGGCCUCCAUAGUUAGAGUCACGGAAGCUUGUUGGAAAGGACAAUAGAAGUUCGUUCCCUCGAGGGUGUGCGUCGUGACUGUGUGUGGUGGUGCCUUGCCGUGUUCAGUUCAUGCUCCUUAUCAAGAAAGAAAUGACGACUUGUGGUUGAUGAAAAGCCUUGGUAGAGUCUCCGCAUUUAUAUCUGUAGAGGUAAUGACAUUAAUUACCAUCGCAUGGGUGAAUAUCUGCAUCCAUACGAGCAACAGUAAAUCACUUAAAUAAUUCACCCGCUGGGCAUUAAUAAUAGAUGUGGUUAUUUUUCUGGGAAUUCACUUUAUUUUUCCCUUUAGUAUUUGUAGUUUCUUCAAAUUACUUUUGACUAUGGCGACAAUAACAGAAUUCAGCCCUGUGUGUUUAAUCUGAUAUACCCACGAGGCCUAAAAUGUCUACUAUAAAAGGGCCAUGGUUCCAGAACGCUGCUUCUUGUAGGGGCUGAGGCCUUGAGUCAUCUUUAAUAUAUCCUCCAUGUGUUACCAUUGCUUUCAAGAGAAGUCUGUACUUGCCUUGCCUGGAAAGUACCAAUCCAAUUCCUGUACUUUCUCUUACAAUUUUUUUCUUUGCUUUUGGAAUUCUGCCCUCUUUCUUUCAGCCCUUUAAACCACCUUGCUUUGUUUUGCUAUGUUUGCUUGUUUUUCUCAUUGACAGCUUUCUUCUAUCGAUAUUACCCCAAAAUAAAUGCUACCAAUACCCA
Molecule: long non-coding RNA, 8367 nt
Organism: Mus musculus (house mouse)
Lineage: Eukaryota; Metazoa; Chordata; Mammalia; Rodentia; Muridae
Product: predicted gene, 41072
Exons: 3
Source: RefSeq, a predicted model, not a curated record